GGUCCGAGACCACAAUUGUCGUCCCUUGUUUUUCGUUGUUCUUUUCGUUGUUCACGAAUAUAGUCCCUAGUGUUGACAGUGGGUUACUUGCCAUUAAUUUUUAUACCCCUUCCAAAUUUAUUUCUCCAUGUUUAUUGCCUCAAAUUGCAAGUAUGGGGGUGAAAUUACACUGUAAAAAAAUUGGGUCCAGAAUUUUAAAGGAAAGUAGUGAUUUGGUCCAGCUGAAAAAGGUUGAAAAUUAGCACUUCGGAAGCUGUCAAAAGAUUUCAAGACGCCCUAAACAUAAAAUUGUCCAUAUUUUGAGUUAGAGCCGAUGAAGUUUUCUAUAAUUUUGAUAUAAUUUGUCCCAAAAGUAGUACAACACACUGUAAAAGUUUCUUUGAGAAAGCGCAGGUGGGAUUUUUUUUAUUUUCAUUUAUGUUCUAAAAGAAAUGCACUACGAAAUAAUUGUGUUCUCGGACCUAAGAGGUGAAAUCUGUAAAUAUAGAAUCUGUACUUUGGCAACUUCCCUAAAUGUUUUG
Molecule: long non-coding RNA, 521 nt
Filed under: Mytilus galloprovincialis (Mediterranean mussel)
Lineage: Eukaryota; Metazoa; Mollusca; Bivalvia; Mytilida; Mytilidae
Source: RNAcentral